UAGGGCACGCUGGUUACUAGCAACUUGACGUCGGUGCUGUUUGAUGAAUCUGAGUGGGAGACACCGCAUUCUUUUAACCCAAAUCACUUCCUAGAUGCUGAGGGCAAAUUCAGGAGAAGAGAUGCAUUUUUGUCUUUUUCAAUAGGAAAGAGAGUUUGUCUUGGUGAGCAGCUGGCAAGGAUGGAACUCUUUCUCUUUUUUUCCUCUCUGCUUCAGCGUUUCACGUUGUCUGCACCUGCAGGUGUGGAGCCCAGCUUGGAUUUUAAACUGGGAGCCACACACUGUCCUCAGCCAUACAAAUUAUGUGCAGUGCCACGUUAAAUAAUACACACAAAUAAAUGUUAAUGGUUUGCUUAUGGUACGUAUUUAGUAAGUACAAAUUAUGGGAGCAGUAAUUUUUAGUAUUUAAUAUUUUAAGUGUACAUCUGUGUUUGUUUAAAGUGAACACACGUUUGUUCUGUGUUGGUUGAUGGAUAAUUACUCAUUUUGUUCUAAACUGUUUCACUAUUUAUUAAAAUAGUACUUCAAUACGCAUACAUACAAUACAAAUCAACCUAAGAUUCAUUUUUAUUUAUCUGUAAAAGUACCUUGGAAAUGGUUUGUUUUUUAUAACAGAAGUCCGUGCAGUGUAGUCACACACCCCUGUUUCUAUGCACAGGUGGUCAUUUUCACUGACUGUACGUGAUCAUGCAAUGACAUUAAAAUUGGGCAUUAUA
This is a long non-coding RNA of Paramisgurnus dabryanus, 716 nucleotides long. RefSeq lists it as uncharacterized. The record is from RefSeq and is a predicted model, not a curated record. NCBI's taxonomy places the organism in Eukaryota, Metazoa, Chordata, Actinopteri, Cypriniformes, Cobitidae.